GAUGAACGCUGGCGGCGUGCCUAAUACAUGCAAGUCGAGCGAACAGACGAGGAGCUUGCUCCUCUGACGUUAGCGGCGGACGGGUGAGUAACACGUGGAUAACCUACCUAUAAGACUGGGAUAACUUCGGGAAACCGGAGCUAAUACCGGAUAAUAUAUUGAACCGCAUGGUGCAAUAGUGAAAGACGGUUUUGCUGUCACAUAUAGAUGGAUCCGCGCCGCAUUAGCUAGUUGGUAAGGUAACGGCUUACCAAGGCAACGAUGCGUAGCCGACCUGAGAGGGUGGUCGGCCCCACUGGAACUGAGACACGGUCCAGACUCCUACGGGAGGCAGCAGUAGGGAAUCUUCCGCAAUGGGCGAAAGCUUGACGGAGCAACGCCGCGUGAGUGAUGAAGGUCUUCGGAUCGUAAAACUCUGUUAUUAGGGAAGAACAAAUGUGUAAGUAACUAUGCACGUCUUGGCGGUACCUAAUCAGAAAGCCACGGCUAACUACGUG
RNAcentral lists this ribosomal RNA (497 nucleotides) under uncultured bacterium. RNAcentral's name for it is "partial 16S ribosomal RNA". It matches the Rfam family "Bacterial small subunit ribosomal RNA", at positions 28 to 507 of the family's 1533-position model. The record is from RNAcentral.